CAGUCGCCGCGGGAAUACGUAGGUCCCGGGCGUUGUCCGGAUUUAUUGGGCGUAAAGCGAGCGCAGGCGGUUAGAUAAGUCUGAAGUUAAAGGCUGUGGCUUAACCAUAGUAUGCUUUGGAAACUGUUUAACUUGAGUGCAGAAGGGGAGAGUGGAAUUCCAUGUGUAGCGGUGAAAUGCGUAGAUAUAUGGAGGAACACCGGUGGCGAAAGCGGCUCUCUGGUCUGUCACUGACGCUGAGGCUCGAAAGCGUGGGUAGCGAACAGGAUUAGAUACCCGCGUAGUCCCUGUCUCUUAUACA
Molecule: ribosomal RNA, 301 nt
Filed under: uncultured bacterium
Lineage: Bacteria
Description: partial 16S ribosomal RNA
Rfam family: Bacterial small subunit ribosomal RNA
Source: RNAcentral